Molecule: ribosomal RNA, 253 nt
Filed under: uncultured bacterium
Lineage: Bacteria
Description: partial 16S ribosomal RNA
Rfam family: Bacterial small subunit ribosomal RNA
Source: RNAcentral
UACGGGGGGGGCAAGCGUUGUUCGGAAUUACUGGGCGUAAAGGGCUCGUAGGCGGCCAACUAAGUCAGACGUGAAAUCCCUCGGCUUAACCGGGGAACUGCAUCUGAUACUGGAUGGCUUGAGAUUGGGAGAGGGAUGCGGAAUUCCAGGUGUAGCGGUGAAAUGCGUAGAUAUCUGGAGGAAUACCGGUGGCGAAGGCGGCAUCCUGGACCGACAUUGACGCUGAGGCGCGAAAGCCAGGGGAGCGAACGGG